UACGGGGGGAGCAAGCGUUGUUCGGAUUUACUGGGCGUAAAGGGCGCGUAGGCGGCCAGCACAAGUCAGUUGUGAAAUCUCCGAGCUUAACUCGGAAAGGUCAACUGAUACUGUGCGGCUAGAGUGCGGAAGGGGCAACUGGAAUUCUUGGUGUAGCGGUGAAAUGCGCAGAUAUCAGGAGGAACACCCGUAGCGAAGGCGGCACUCUGGGCCGAUACUGACACUGAGGAGCGAAAGCGUGGGGAGCGAACAGG
This 254-nucleotide ribosomal RNA is filed under the name uncultured bacterium. RNAcentral describes it as "partial 16S ribosomal RNA". It matches the Rfam family "Bacterial small subunit ribosomal RNA", at positions 524 to 776 of the family's 1533-position model. The record is from RNAcentral.